This 911-nucleotide long non-coding RNA is filed under the name Phoenix dactylifera (date palm). RNAcentral describes it as "long non-coding RNA (PDAC_LNC007113)". Lineage: Eukaryota; Viridiplantae; Streptophyta; Magnoliopsida; Arecales; Arecaceae. The record is from RNAcentral.
AGAAAUACAGCCCAUUUCUUUUCUUUUCUUUUUGGGUACAAGAAUCAUCUCAAAUUUACAUAUAAGUAGAAGAAUUAACAUUCUGAAAACAACAAGCAACCCAUCAACUAACCCACUGAACAUAACUAUUCAUGCCUCUGAUAGAGAAUAUUAAAUGCAUCAGCAGUCAGUAUAUGCGCAAAAAUACAACCCAUUUCUUUGAUAGGAGACAGAGAUGAGGAUGAGAAAAAUUAAGCACCCAUUGAUUGGAUGCACCUAUGAAUUUAUGCAUUGAAUAUUUUUUAUGUUGACCAUUGUAUAAAAUCAAAAGGAAGAAAAGGAAUGCUGAACAUCCUGUCCAAGUGCUGGCUCCUAAUUCCUGUUCAAUAGUCAUGGGUGAAAAUAGGGUGUUCGGACUAUCAAACGCUUGCUUGGAUGGUAUCAAUCCUUGCUACUUAGGUAAGAAAGUUGGGUUUCGAUAACCCCCAAAGGUAGAGCGGGUAUGAAGUAAAAAAAAAAAAAGAAGGUGUGAAUUAGUCUCUCUUAAUCUAAAAAGAAAAAAGAAAAAAUAAAAAUGAAGAUAGGGCCUCUAAGGUGGAGAAGCAAUAUGGGCUUAGACACACACUUGUGUUGGGGGGUGUUUUGAGUUUGGGCCUGCUUCCCAUCCCCCUGCGUACGAGGAGGAUAUUAAUUCAUAUAGGAAGGCCCAAGCCCAAGGAAUAUUGUUAUGGGGGUCACAUGAGACAAUGAAUGUAAUGCAUAAGUGACAGUGUCGAACUUAAGACGGCAAGAGAGAGACUCCACCCUGGUCCACCAUUUUCAAGCUUCCAUCCUUUAUGUGACCCUAGAGCUGAUUAAAAUCCGAGCCGGGCCAGGCUCGGGCCAGGCUCUACAGCAGAAAUUAGGCCCGAUAGCCUUGCCCAGGCCCGGCC